CAGUCGCCACGGGAAUACGUAGGGUGCAAGCGUUAAUCAGAAUUACUGGGCGUAAAGCGUGCGCAGGCGGUUUGUUAAGACGGAUGUGAAAUCCCCGGGCUCAACCUGGGAACUGCAUUCGUGACUGGCAAGCUAGAGUAUGGCAGAGGGGGGUGGAAUUCCACGUGUAGCAGUGAAACGCGUAGAGAUGUGGAGGAACACCGAUGGCGAAGGCAGCCCCCUGGGCCAAUACUGACGCUCAUGCACGAAAGCGUGGGGAGCAAACAGGAUUAGAUACCCCAGUAGUCCCUGUCUCUUAUAC
This 301-nucleotide ribosomal RNA is filed under the name uncultured bacterium. RNAcentral's name for it is "partial 16S ribosomal RNA". It matches the Rfam family "Bacterial small subunit ribosomal RNA", at positions 509 to 807 of the family's 1533-position model. The record is from RNAcentral.